This 381-nucleotide long non-coding RNA is filed under the name Salmo salar (Atlantic salmon). RNAcentral describes it as "lncRNA (ENSSSAG00000117332.1)". The record is from RNAcentral. Lineage: Eukaryota; Metazoa; Chordata; Actinopteri; Salmoniformes; Salmonidae.
GACUAACAGUUAAACUACAGUGUUGAUUCAGGAGGAGGAGGAGGAGGAGGAGGUGCUGCCUGAGCUGCUGUCUCCUCUACUAGACGACUAACAGUUAAACUACAGUGUUGAUUCAGGAGGAGGAGGAGGAGGAGGAGGAGGUGCUGCCUGAGCUGCUGUCUCCUCUAUUAGACAACUAACAGUUAAACUACAGUGUUGAUUCAGGAGGAGGAGGAGGAGGAGGUGCUGCCUGAGCUGCUGUCUCCUCUACUAGAAGACUAACAGUUAAACUACAGUGUUGAUUCAGGAGGAGGAGGAGGAGGAAGAGGAGGUGCUGCCUGAGCUGCUGUCUCCUCUACUAGACGACUAACAGUUAAACUACAGUGUUGAUUCAGGAGGAGG